RNAcentral lists this ribosomal RNA (566 nucleotides) under uncultured bacterium. RNAcentral's name for it is "partial 16S ribosomal RNA". It matches the Rfam family "Bacterial small subunit ribosomal RNA", at positions 355 to 914 of the family's 1533-position model. The record is from RNAcentral.
UGGGGAAUUUUGGACAAUGGGGGAAACCCUGAUCCUGCCAUCCCGCGUGUGCGAUGAAGGCCUUCGGGUUGUAAAGCACUUUUGGCAGGAAAGAAACGUCGCGGGUUAAUACCCCGCGAAACUGACGGUACCUGCAGAAUAAGCACCGGCUAACUACGUGCCAGCAGCCGCGGUAAUACGUAGGGUGCAAGCGUUAAUCGGAAUUACUGGGCGUAAAGCGUGCGCAGGCGGUUCGGAAAGAAAGAUGUGAAAUCCCAGAGCUUAACUUUGGAACUGCAUUUUUAACUACCGGGCUAGAGUGUGUCAGAGGGAGGUGGAAUUCCGCGUGUAGCAGUGAAAUGCGUAGAUAUGCGGAGGAACACCGAUGGCGAAGGCAGCCUCCUGGGAUAACACUGACGCUCAUGCACGAAAGCGUGGGGAGCAAACAGGAUUAGAUACCCUGGUAGUCCACGCCCUAAACGAUGUCAACUAGCUGUUGGGGCCUUCGGGCCUUGGUAGCGCAGCUAACGCGUGAAGUUGACCGCCUGGGGAGUACGGUCGCAAGAUUAAAACUCAAAUGAAUUGAC